AGAGUUUGAUCAUGGCUCAGAUUGAACGUUGGCGGCAGGCCUAAUACAUGCAAGUCGAACGGCAGCACGAGAGCUUGCUCUUGGUGGCGAGUGGCGGACGGGUGAGUAACGCGUAGGAAUCUACCCAGUAGCGGGGGAUAGCCCGGGGAAACUCGGAUUAAUACCGCAUACGCCCCACGGGGGAAAGGCCGGGAUCUUCGGACCGGUCACUAUUGGAGGAGCCUGCGUAGGAUUAGCUAGUUGGUGAGGUAAAGGCUCACCAAGGCGACGAUCCUUAGCUGUUCUGAGAGGAAGAUCAGCCACACUGGAACUGAGACACGGUCCAGACUCCUACGGGAGGCACAGUAGGGAAUAUUGCGCAAUGGGCGAAAGCCUGACGCAGCCAUGCCGCGUGUGUGAAGAAGGCCUUAGGGUUGUAAAGCACUUUCAGUAGGGAGGAAUUAGUGGGGUUAACAGCCCUGCGAAAUGACGUUACCUACAGAAGAAGAUCCGGCUAACUCCGUGCCAGCAGCCGCGGUAAUACGGAGGGAUCAAACGUUAAUCGGAAUUACUGGGCGUAAAGCGCGCGUAGGUGGUUUGUUAAGUGGGAUGUGAAAGCCCUGGGCUUAACCUAGGAAUUGCAUUCCAAACUGACAGACUAGAGUACGAUAGAGGGGGGUAGAAUUCAGAGUGUAGCGGUGAAAUGCGUAGAUAUUCUGAGGAAUACCGGUGGCGAAGGCGGCCCCCUGGAUUGAUACUGACACUGAGGUGCGAAAGCGUGGGGAGCAAACAGGAUUAGAUACCCUGGUAGUCCACGCCGUAAACGAUGUCAACUAGCCGUUGGGAGGCUUGACCUCUUAGUGGCGAAGCUAACGCGAUAAGUUGACCGCCUGGGGAGUACGGUCGCAAGAUUAAAACUCAAAUGAAUUGACGGGGGCCCGCACAAGCGGUGGAGCAUGUGGUUUAAUUCGAGCAACGCGAAAAACCUUACCAGGCUUUGACAUCCAGAGAAUUCGCUAGAGAUAGCUUAGUGCCUUCGGGAACUCUGAGACAGGUGUUGCACGGCUGUCGUCAGCUCGUGUCGUGAGAUGUUGGGUUAAGUCCCGUAACGAGCGCAACCCUUAUCCUUAUUUGCCAGCACGUAAUGGUGGGAACUCUAAGGAGACUGCCGGUGACAAACCGGAGGAAGGAGAGGACGACGUCAAGUCAUCAUGGCCCUUACAGCCUGGGCUACACACGUGCUACAAUGGAUAAUACAGAGGGCCGCAAUGCCGCAAGGUGGAGCAAAUCCCAGAAAAUUAUUCGUAGUCCGGAUUGGAGUCUGCAACUCGACUCCAUGAAGUCGGAAUCGCUAGUAAUCGCGAAUCAGCAUGUCGCGGUGAAUACGUUCCCGGGCCUUGUACACACCGCCCGUCACAUCAUGGGAGUGGGCUGCAAAAGAAGUGGCUAGUCUAACCUUCGGGAGGACGGUCACCACUUUGCG
Molecule: ribosomal RNA, 1462 nt
Filed under: metagenome
Description: bacterial SSU rRNA
Rfam family: Bacterial small subunit ribosomal RNA
Source: RNAcentral